GACAAUGAGAUAAAUGAACAGCAGCAUUAAGUGUUGGGUGCUUAAAAAAGAGAGGUGCUUUAUUGGGGUUCAGAUCUAAUUUAUUACACUUAAUGUCUUACUUUUAAUUUUUUUUUAUUUUUUAUAUAUUUUUUAUCCAUUUUAAAUUUUAUAUUUUUUUAGUUUACUUUUAUGAUUAUUAAUUAAAGUUUAUUUCACCUAAUAAUGAAGGUAUAUAAUUAAUUUUAUUAUUUAAUUUUACUUUUAUUAGAUAAUUA
Molecule: long non-coding RNA, 257 nt
Filed under: Salvia miltiorrhiza (redroot sage)
Lineage: Eukaryota; Viridiplantae; Streptophyta; Magnoliopsida; Lamiales; Lamiaceae
Description: long non-coding RNA (SMIL_LNC012562)
Source: RNAcentral